This is a long non-coding RNA of Helicoverpa zea (corn earworm), 692 nucleotides long. RefSeq lists it as uncharacterized. The transcript is spliced from 3 exons. The record is from RefSeq and is a predicted model, not a curated record. NCBI's taxonomy places the organism in Eukaryota, Metazoa, Arthropoda, Insecta, Lepidoptera, Noctuidae.
CCUACGUAUUUUCUUCUGUUAGGUUACUCUAUGGGUAACAAAUUGACAAGGUGGUGUCACCAAACUUGUCUGUCAAAACUCCAGUAACUAAAAAAAUCCCAUAAAAUGUAACUCAGAAAAAAUAAGCUUAAAAUCAACAAAAAUCAGCAAAAAUGGCUUUGACUGGCAAUAAAUUAAAAGAAUAAUGAAAAAUGGGACAGUUAGAUGAAGCAAGAUCGUCCUCUAGAAUGGGCAAAAGCUCAUCGACCGUCAAAAAGAGCUCUUCAACAAAAGGAAAAAAAGGUGCUGCAGGCGGAGGAUCAGAGUGCUUGAACUUCUCCAACCCUAAAGUUCAAGGAGUUCUGCUAGUUGGCUUACUUGCCGUAUUGGCUGCGGCUUUAUGGUUUGGCUUCUCGCACGGCUGUCUACGUCGACGACGUAGAAGACGCCCAUCUCCUUGUUGCCAGUAAGUGUUUCCACAUACUAUUACAAAAAGGCUGGAAGCCUGGAACAAUCAACGACAGACUUUCGUUGACCGACGACAGCCAUUAGCGACCAGUGGCCAACAGACUGUCGUCGCUUGACAGAGACUUGAAAUAUUGAAGAGGUCAUGUCUUAAGCUACAAGCCGAGACGAUGCUUCACAUGGCAUCCUGAAAAUAACCAGAACUUGAAUACAUUGUGACCAUAAAUAAUAUAAUAAUGGAAUAUCUA